CACGUAGGGCGCAAGCGUUGUCCGGAAUUAUUGGGCGUAAAGAGCUCGUAGGCGGUCUGUUGCGUCCGCUGUGAAAACUCGGGGCUUAACCCCGAGCCUGCAGUGGAUACGGGCAGACUAGAGGUAGGUAGGGGAGAAUGGAAUUCCCGGUGUAGCGGUGAAAUGCGCAGAUAUCGGGAGGAACACCGGUGGCGAAGGCGGUUCUCUGGGCCUUACCUGACGGUGAGGAGCGAAAGCGUGGGGAGCGAACAGG
Molecule: ribosomal RNA, 253 nt
Filed under: uncultured bacterium
Lineage: Bacteria
Description: partial 16S ribosomal RNA
Rfam family: Bacterial small subunit ribosomal RNA
Source: RNAcentral